CAGUCGCCGCGGUAAUACGAAGGGGGCUAGCGUUGUUCGGAAUUACUGGGCGUAAAGCGCACGUAGGCGGAUAUUUAAGUCAGGGGUGAAAUCCCAGAGCUCAACUCUGGAACUGCCUUUGAUACUGGGUAUCUUGAGUAUGGAAGAGGUGAGUGGAAUUCCGAGUGUAGAGGUGAAAUUCGUAGAUAUUCGGAGGAACACCAGUGGCGAAGGCGGCUCACUGGUCCAUUACUGACGCUGAGGUGCGAAAGCGUGGGGAGCAAACAGGAUUAGAUACCCCUGUAGUCCCUGUCUCUUAUAC
RNAcentral lists this ribosomal RNA (301 nucleotides) under uncultured bacterium. Its description in RNAcentral is "partial 16S ribosomal RNA". It matches the Rfam family "Bacterial small subunit ribosomal RNA", at positions 509 to 807 of the family's 1533-position model. The record is from RNAcentral.